GUAUAGUCCAUGGGGUCGCAAAGAGUCGGACACGACUGAGUGACUUUCACCUCACUUACACGGUAGAUGAUUGUGUCCCAAGAUAAUGAAUUCUGUGAGCCACAGACUUUACUAGGUCCUGGUCUUCCGGAUGGAGCAAAUUUAAAUACUAUAAUUUUUUAUUCACUUAUUCUAAAACACUUCUAAGCACCUAAUGUGUGCUAGGCAAGGCACACAUUGAAUAUAUUUUAGAAAGGAUUUAUGUCCAACUUAAAGAAUUUAUUACUUUCUUUUUUAAUAGCUGCAGCUGGCAGCACGACUUAACCAUACGUUGUAUGUCAUCCACCUGCUUUUAAAAUUCAGUUUGAUAACACAUAGGAGAUUACGAUACAGGGUGACCUGUCAUCACAGAAUUAAACCUCUUUGCCUCCAGGGUACAAUGAGGCUUUCUUUGAAGUCUGAAUGCCUCUCAUGCUUUAUUAACAAAAGAAAAAUAACUAAUUACAUAAGCCUCAAAUAACAAAAACUUAAUUUCACAUUACAGGCAACUAACAGGCAGUAUAAACAAUGAGCUAUGUCAGACAAUAGAAAGGAACAGAAUAGAGAUAUUUUUGCUUUAAUGUUAAUACAUGAUGGAUUGCAAAUCACUACUGGAGUUUCUGGGCUUUUUAAAGUUACUUCUAUGUUUUGGUUUGAUUGAUACUUUUAUUUUUAACAUAAUUUAAUCAUCUGCCUUUUUAAGUUUCCAAGAUACCCAUAACUAUCUGACAAUCAAAUUAUUACUGUAUCUAGGAUCAUGAGUUAUGUAAUAUUGCACAUCAUGUGAAGGUAAGUUUCUUCACAAAAGUCUCUCAAGGCCUUGGAGAGAACUGAUUUGGAAAUAGAGGCCACAGAGUUUCAGAGCAAAGAGAGGAAACAGAUAAACUCACCAGUGUAAGGGGACUUACUGUUUGGAUGUUCAAACGCAGAAUCCCUCAACGGCAUUAGGCUUGUUAAUUGACUCAGAUACUGCCAGUGAACAAGCCCCUUGCCCAGGAAACGCUUGCUCAGCCGCCUUUAUCUUUCUCUCUCUCUCACUCAUUCACCCAAUUCAUUAAAGCCUGUUUCUCCCAGGUGCGUCCUGAAGAGUUUCAUUGUUCUGCCUAUUGUACUUGUUGGCUCACAGACCUCUUUCACAAUUUUCCUGCGUUUCUGAAGGCUCCUCGAGUACCAGUUUUGACCAGCCCAUUUGCAGCUAGUCCUUUAAUAAAGGGGCCUUGAAUAAACGGGGAAGAUAGGCGACUGGCGAAAGACAGGGUAAUACGAAGAGCUGGGGCGGGGGAGGCCAGACUCCCC
This 1314-nucleotide long non-coding RNA is filed under the name Capra hircus (goat). RNAcentral's name for it is "lncRNA (ENSCHIG00010002837.1)". Lineage: Eukaryota; Metazoa; Chordata; Mammalia; Artiodactyla; Bovidae. The record is from RNAcentral.